GAUGAACGCUGGCGGCGUGCCUAAUACAUGCAAGUCGAGCGAACAGAUAAGGAGCUUGCUCCUUUGACGUUAGCGGCGGACGGGUGAGUAACACGUGGGUAACCUACCUAUAAGACUGGGAUAACUUCGGGAAACCGGAGCUAAUACCGGAUAACAUUUGGAACCGCAUGGUUCUAAAGUGAAAGAUGGUUUUGCUAUCACUUAUAGAUGGACCCGCGCCGUAUUAGCUAGUUGGUAAGGUAACGGCUUACCAAGGCGACGAUACGUAGCCGACCUGAGAGGGUGAUCGGCCACACUGGAACUGAGACACGGUCCAGACUCCUACGGGAGGCAGCAGUAGGGAAUCUUCCGCAAUGGGCGAAAGCCUGACGGAGCAACGCCGCGUGAGUGAUGAAGGGUUUCGGCUCGUAAAACUCUGUUAUUAGGGAAGAACAAAUGUGUAAGUAACUGUGCACGUCUUGACGGUACCUAAUCAGAAAGCAACGGCUAACUACGUG
This 497-nucleotide ribosomal RNA is filed under the name uncultured bacterium. RNAcentral describes it as "partial 16S ribosomal RNA". It matches the Rfam family "Bacterial small subunit ribosomal RNA", at positions 28 to 507 of the family's 1533-position model. The record is from RNAcentral.